RNAcentral lists this long non-coding RNA (930 nucleotides) under Capsicum annuum. RNAcentral's name for it is "long non-coding RNA (CANN_LNC010267)". Lineage: Eukaryota; Viridiplantae; Streptophyta; Magnoliopsida; Solanales; Solanaceae. The record is from RNAcentral.
AGUAAUAGCUAAGCAUUGGUAGGUUUUGUCCUUACGUUUAUUGCCAUUCCCCCAUUAUCCCUAUCAACUAUGGAUACUCAAACACGACACUACACCUUACAACAUGAAAAUUUUGGAAGAAAUUGACAUCGGGAGAAUUUUAUUGUUGCAACAACUAGUUACUGCUGCAGAGGUAAGUAACCACGGAAUUAGUUUGCGAUAAAUCAUAUCAAGGAAGGCCAAUUUCCCCCAUUUGUCAUCCAACUCUAAUAAUUCUCUCACUCCUUACUGCAAAAUCUCCUCCACCGAUGACUUUAAGGUAAUUUUUUCAUCCUUACUACUCACGUUAUGUAUUUUUAUUUUGUAGAAUUAUAGAGUCAUGUUAGAAUUUAGAAAUUUAGAGGUGAUUUUUGUGAAACUCCUUGUACUUGAACUUGGUGGUGUUUAUCAACAAAAUAAAGAACAUGCUUCAAUCUCUUAUAUCUACAAAGAUCCUAUAGCAUUCGAGGCAUAAUAAUAAUGUAUCAAAUGGCUGAAAUUUUCAAUGGGAGGGUAAUAGGUGUAGUGUCAUCUUCUCCAAUGAAAUUAACUGAUUUGGGGGUGAAAUUUGGUUUUGUACAUUCUCAUUUUUGUGUAAAAAAGUUUAUGGGGACUUUAAUAAGACCGAUAAUAAUAUUGAACUUGAGAAUAUGAUGAAAGGACAAAAUCCACCAUAAUAGGGGAGAUUGGCGGGUUGAAUAAUGUGAAUCAUUGCAGUGGUACCAUUGCAAAAACUAGUUAACCACCAAUGCCGUACUAGGCAGAAGCUUUUUAGUUUUUUAUUUUUCUAUAAUUUUGAAUUUUCUACCCUCCAUCAGUACCCUGUCUUUAUUUCAACAUGUUUUUGUAUUUUGUAGGAUCAUCAUAGCCUAACAACUCCCCCACUACUAAAGGUUUCUGGACAAUGCUAAC